CCUACGGGUGGCAGCAGUGGGGAAUAUUGCGCAAUGGGCGAAAGCCUGAUGCAGUGACGCCGCGUGAGGGAUGAAGGUCUUCGGAUCGUAAACCCCUGUCAGCAGGGAAGAACGGUCAUUGUGCUAAUAAGAAACGAAUUGACGGUACCUGACACGGAAGCACCGGCUAACUCCGUGCCAGCAGCCGCGGUAAUACGGAGGGUGCGAGCGUUAAUCGGAAUUAUUGGGCGUAAAGCGCUCGUAGGCGGUAUGUUAAGUCAAGGGUGAAAGCCCCGCGCUGAACGUGGGAACUGCCUUUGAAACUGGCAAACUGGAGUGUGUGAGAGGAGAGUGGAAUUCCAGGUGUAGGAGUGAAAUCCGUAGAUAUCUGGAGGAACAUCAGUGGCGAAGGCGACUAUCUGGCACAUAACUGACGCUGAGGAGCGAAAGCGUGGGUAGCAAACAGGAUUAGAUACCCUUGUAGUC
RNAcentral lists this ribosomal RNA (465 nucleotides) under uncultured bacterium. RNAcentral describes it as "partial 16S ribosomal RNA". It matches the Rfam family "Bacterial small subunit ribosomal RNA", at positions 338 to 795 of the family's 1533-position model. The record is from RNAcentral.